This is a long non-coding RNA of Mus caroli (Ryukyu mouse), 805 nucleotides long. RefSeq lists it as uncharacterized. Lineage: Eukaryota; Metazoa; Chordata; Mammalia; Rodentia; Muridae. The record is from RefSeq and is a predicted model, not a curated record.
CAGUUCUAAACCUGUCAGACACUGCAAAUAUCUUCUUUCUCUUCUCUCCUAGGUUUCACAAGUCCAUUCAGGGAAAGCUCAAAAAGUAUUCACACCUACAAACAAAACAGAAGGGUCUUCACAGCUAAAGAAGUGCCCACCUCCAAUGCUAAGAAACACAGUGACCAAGGUCUCCUAGCAGGGAGAAAGAGCAUGAAACUGCCUUUGCUCCUUCCUAUGAGUCACCCUCUUUUACUGAGAAGGGACAGAAUGCUACGUGCUAAAGCUGCACAGACUUCGGUGUAGCUUCAGUUUUUCCAGCUAUGACAAAACAUGGUAUUCCACGGGACUCUGAUAGCAGAUGCAGUAAACAGAUGUGUUCCAACACAGAAACUGGGUGGAAAACUCCAUCAAGGCUUCAGGACACGUCGAUCUAUUGGCUUGUCAGCUCUCCCUGGACAACUCAGCACAACCUCUGUCCUUGAAAACAAUGCAGACUCCUCUGAACCCUACUAAUCCUGCUAGGUUGGUUUGACUAGAAUCCUCCAUCCUCCUUAUCUGGCCACCGCCUGAACAGACUCCUCACCAGUAUCAGCCUCCAGGUGAUGUCUACACUCCACACCUUUCUUGAGCAAGUACUCUGCUAGGUGAGUUUGCCUGGAAUGUCCCUUACUUUUGAUGUUUUCUCCUGGUAAAUUUCUAUCCUCUGAGCUCCACCCUGGCCCUUGGUGAUAAAUACCCACUGGUUCUUGUUUUCUGUACAUCUGUCAUGGUGGUCCUGUAUAAAGUCUACCUUGCUGUUUAACAAGCUUCAGUUAACAUCUUU